UUUUAUCCAGUCCAACUAACCCCAUUGACAUGUCAAGGUUCUUCUCCUCAUUUUCAUCCUUGAUUUUCACGUAGUUCUUACACUGAAAUUUGAGGUGCCCAACACGGCCACAUCUCUUGCAGGCUCCACGGGACACAUCCACAUCAGCAUUGGUUAUCUUAGCAAGUUGAAGAAGCCCCUGGAAGCUGGCAUAAGCAUUCUCACCGUCAGGCUCAUCAUUAGGAAGACUUUGUGAAGUAUCCUUUUUGUCUUCCUUAUUGGGUGCAUAAGGGUCAUAACCAAUGGCACUCUGCCAUAUGCCAUGAGUUUGAAGGGCUGCACUACUAUGCACCCUAUUGUUAGCGGGCAUGCGUACCCUACCUGCUGUAGCCGGCAUCUUGUGACUUUGAUGUCAAUCCUUAACCUGGAGGCUGAAGACAGGUAAAAAGGCAACUUAACUGUAAGAAGCUAUAACAAGGCAAAAAAAAAUCAGGAAUCAAACAUUCUGCAAAAAAUAAAAUUCCAUUUGCAUCUCUAGGUCACUAACAAAAAUAAAUAAAAGAGGUACGGGGAGUUAAAAUUCUGCACAUAAAUUUAAUACUCGUUUGGAGGAAGUGCAUAAAUAGCUUAAACUUUCCUACAAUGAUAUAACCGAAGUCGUAGACUCCAAGCAUUUCAUUCCUAUAACAUAAUAAAUUUUAGAUCAACAUUGGAUCAUUCCAAUGAGUGAAUGACUAAAGAACAGCAACUACAUUUAUAGAUUUCAAAUUUCAGCUGCUUAGGUAUAAGUCCAUAUUACCACCUCAUCUAACCCAUGUUCAUAAUUCAUCUAAUCGACCAACUAUCUAUAUCUGAACCAGACUAUGCUAUACAGUUAUACAAGUUAAGUCAAGUUUCAUUCUUAAGUUCACCAUUCUAGUUUCACAAAAAUCUGUCUGUGUCACCUACCAACAGAUUAAUUAUAAGGACGGAAUACUAUUUUCCACAUAGAUUUUACUAACAAACAUUUUUCUCCACACCACAAUCAAAAUUACAUUUUCUAAUAAAUACCAAUGAACGUGAGCACCGUGAUUCAACAAAUACAUAAUAUGCCAAAACUAAAAAAACAAAUUAUAAUAAAUAAAAACUCAUCUACGAACAAAUAUUUCCCACGACAACGGCAACCCAAAAUUAUAAUACCUAAAUACCCAAAACACAUAAUAUAAAAUCUAUGUUCUAAAUUUUAUUUUAGGGAAUCCAAAUCACUAAAAUACCAUGUCUGUAUAAACCGAAACAGAAACAAAGUUCUUGUAUUGUGUCGAUUAACACAGAGAGCAUUGAUUUUGUUUGGAAUUCAAAGGAAAAGAGAUAAACAACGAGGGAAAGAGUAACCUGAUUUGAAAUUAACAGCGAUUGAGCGAUUCCGGAUUCCAAUCGGUUCUGAAUUAAGUACGGAAGAAGGAAAUUUGAACGAUCUGAAUGAAACUAAGAAAAGCAGAUGAAAGUUUAGGGUUCUAUGGGCGAAAGAGAAAAAGAGAAGAAGAUUGGAUUAGAUUCAAAACUUGAUAUCGAUUUCUCGGCUUCUCUAAAAUUAUUCUGUGGAUCAAUUGAGGCUUCCGUUUUAUGGGCCUGGCCCAAGUGUAAUUUUCUAACUAGGCGAAGAUGGUCCAACGAGUCCACUAAAUUUUCAUAUCAUAUUUUUUCUAAAAUUGAAGGUUAACCAAUCCUAAAUAUCUAUAGGACCAAUUUUUGACUAAAAAACCAACUCCCAAAUUUGAUUAAAUAUAAUGCAUUGUUCAUUUAGAUAAAGUAUUUUCAACAUUACUUAUUAUUAUGACUAUGUAUUUGACAUAUGAAGUAUUACAUAUAUAGAUAUUUUAUUUAUCAUUUACAUAUGUAAAUAGAUACAUACAAACAUGAUGAAUCAGAUAUCAUUGGACAAAUUGGGACGAAUCAAGUUUGGUCCUUACCUAAUUCUAAAUAUUGAUCACGUCUAAUUUUGAAACCGAACUCAACCCGAGACCAGUUAAAACUCGACCAUAUUAGAGUCUGGUCAUGAUAAGAACAAGUCGGGUAAACGGGUAGGGUUAGUAUUGAUCCGAUUAUACUCUUAAUCUAGUGAAAUAUCAAAAAUGAUAAAGUUGAAGAAAACAAUCAAUCUCUUCAUGAUAAAUAAUCAAUAUCUUGAUUUUCUAAAGUAGAAAGUAAAAUGACACACCACACAACACAUACUCUAAAAAGACAACUAUUUUGGAAUGGAGGGUUAGGUUGUCGGCCUAAUUUGAAAGGAACAUUUUUCUAAUUAGUGUCAUUGACAAUUUGGGCAAAACUUAUGAGGUUCACCCGCCCGCACGCUUUUUCUAGGCGAGUAGAGCAUGAAAAAAUAUGUUCAUCCGUCCUAAAAGUUUCCCCAACAUGCCCUAUUUGCCCAUGGGCCUUUCGAACGAGCAAAGCGGGCAGCCCAUGGACAUUAUUAAAGAAAGUAUUGUACAUUAAAUAUGCUAAUGUAUAUUUCAUGCCUACUCAAGAACGGGCGUGCACAUGCUCACCCUAUUUAAGUGGGCAUUGCAUGGACUAGACCGUUAAAACGACCAUAAUUAUAAUUACCAACACUACUUAGUGCCUCAAAAUUUCAUAGGAUACAAUGAGUUAAUAAUGGAAUCAAUUGAUGCUGUAUUAUCUCAAGUAGAACUUUGCUCUCAAGUGAAGAAAAUAAACUAAAGUAAAUAAAAGGACCGUAAAUUGAAGCAAAAAUGCUGCAAAAAAUAAAUAUAAUUCAUAACAGACGGAUUGAAAGAAAUUGAUAAACCAAACAGAAGGAGGAGAAAAUAGAGAUGAGUUUNNNNNNNNNNNNNNNNNNNNNNNNNNNNNNNNNNNNNNNNNNNNNNNNNNNNNNNNNNNNNNNNNNNNNNNNNNNNNNNNNNNNNNNNNNNNNNNNNNNNAUUUUCACGUAGUUCUUACACUGAAAUUUGAGGUGCCCAACACGGCCACAUCUCUUGCAGGCUCCACGGGACACAUCCACAUCAGCAUUGGUUAUCUUAGCAAGUUGAAGAAGCCCCUGGAAGCUGGCAUAAGCAUUCUCACCGUCAGGCUCAUCAUUAGGAAGACUUUGUGAAGUAUCCUUUUUGUCUUCCUUAUUGGGUGCAUAAGGGUCAUAACCAAUGGCACUCUGCCAUAUGCCAUGAGUUUGAAGGGCUGCACUACUAUGCACCCUAUUGUUAGCGGGCAUGCGUACCCUACCUGCUGUAGCCGGCAUCUUGUGACUUUGAUGUCAAUCCUUAACCUGGAGGCUGAAGACAGGUAAAAAGGCAACUUAACUGUAAGAAGCUAUAACAAGGCAAAAAAAAAUCAGGAAUCAAACAUUCUGCAAAAAAUAAAAUUCCAUUUGCAUCUCUAGGUCACUAACAAAAAUAAAUAAAAGAGGUACGGGGAGUUAAAAUUCUGCACAUAAAUUUAAUACUCGUUUGGAGGAAGUGCAUAAAUAGCUUAAACUUUCCUACAAUGAUAUAACCGAAGUCGUAGACUCCAAGCAUUUCAUUCCUAUAACAUAAUAAAUUUUAGAUCAACAUUGGAUCAUUCCAAUGAGUGAAUGACUAAAGAACAGCAACUACAUUUAUAGAUUUCAAAUUUCAGCUGCUUAGGUAUAAGUCCAUAUUACCACCUCAUCUAACCCAUGUUCAUAAUUCAUCUAAUCGACCAACUAUCUAUAUCUGAACCAGACUAUGCUAUACAGUUAUACAAGUUAAGUCAAGUUUCAUUCUUAAGUUCACCAUUCUAGUUUCACAAAAAUCUGUCUGUGUCACCUACCAACAGAUUAAUUAUAAGGACGGAAUACUAUUUUCCACAUAGAUUUUACUAACAAACAUUUUUCUCCACACCACAAUCAAAAUUACAUUUUCUAAUAAAUACCAAUGAACGUGAGCACCGUGAUUCAACAAAUACAUAAUAUGCCAAAACUAAAAAAACAAAUUAUAAUAAAUAAAAACUCAUCUACGAACAAAUAUUUCCCACGACAACGGCAACCCAAAAUUAUAAUACCUAAAUACCCAAAACACAUAAUAUAAAAUCUAUGUUCUAAAUUUUAUUUUAGGGAAUCCAAAUCACUAAAAUACCAUGUCUGUAUAAACCGAAACAGAAACAAAGUUCUUGUAUUGUGUCGAUUAACACAGAGAGCAUUGAUUUUGUUUGGAAUUCAAAGGAAAAGAGAUAAACAACGAGGGAAAGAGUAACCUGAUUUGAAAUUAACAGCGAUUGAGCGAUUCCGGAUUCCAAUCGGUUCUGAAUUAAGUACGGAAGAAGGAAAUUUGAACGAUCUGAAUGAAACUAAGAAAAGCAGAUGAAAGUUUAGGGUUCUAUGGGCGAAAGAGAAAAAGAGAAGAAGAUUGGAUUAGAUUCAAAACUUGAUAUCG
Molecule: long non-coding RNA, 4367 nt
Filed under: Lupinus angustifolius (narrow-leaved blue lupine)
Lineage: Eukaryota; Viridiplantae; Streptophyta; Magnoliopsida; Fabales; Fabaceae
Description: long non-coding RNA (LANG_LNC000716)
Source: RNAcentral